This 357-nucleotide ribosomal RNA is filed under the name Triticum aestivum (bread wheat). Its description in RNAcentral is "partial small subunit ribosomal RNA". The record is from RNAcentral. Lineage: Eukaryota; Viridiplantae; Streptophyta; Magnoliopsida; Poales; Poaceae.
AUGGCCUACGACGGCAUGCUGCGGUCCACUGUGCAGGUGAGUUUGGCGAGUACUAGUUCCGUAGCAUGGGGGCCUGGUGAUCUCCCAGUGCCACCCAGUGACGAGCUCGUGCAUAUAAUUGUGGCAUGUCCUGUGCCUUUUAAUUUUGACAGUAAUGCAAGAAGUUCAUUGUGUACCUGGUGCGGUUUGGUGACUCGGACAUCUAUAGUGGGUGUGGUUCCGUAUACUCAUCGCUGGAGCAGCCCACACGGUGGGGGCACGAAGCCUUCGUUGACUUUACAAGCAGUACACUUUGGUACUAUGAGCUGUUGCGCAAAAAGACAAGGGACACGAUUGAAUUUGUAUUUUUUGUUUUGA